Molecule: non-coding RNA, 381 nt
Organism: Arachis ipaensis
Lineage: Eukaryota; Viridiplantae; Streptophyta; Magnoliopsida; Fabales; Fabaceae
Source: RefSeq, a predicted model, not a curated record
UCUAUUACAAUCUCAAUCUCAUUCUCCAUCUACACCAAUCUGCAUUGAUGCUUUUGCUAAUUUCUAUAUACACACUUAUUCAAGAAAUUAAAGGGAAAAAAUGUUGGGAAUUUUCAAGGAGAAGUUGGUGAAUGCAUCAAAGGAGCUUAAUAGCCCUGCUUCUUUGAAUUCAUCAAACAAUAAGCCUAAGCUUUCUCAUGAAAUCCUUCACAAUUUCAUGUCCAACAAUUCCUCCAAUGCUUUCUGCAUGAACUUUGGACAUCAUGCUUUACUAGCUUAUUCCCCUCUAAACCAGCCCUCCGUUCAUCAAAGGUUGUUUAGUGGUGUGGACAACAUAUACUGUGUGUUCUUGGGGAGCCUGCACAACCUUAGCAUGCUGAA